ACGCUCGACACCUACGGGGGCAGCAGUGAGGAAUAUUGGUCAAUGGGCGCUAGCCUGAACCAGCCAAGUAGCGUGAAGGAUGAAGGCUCUAUGGGUCGUAAACUUCUUUUAUAUAAGAAUAAAGUGCAGUAUGUAUACUGUUUUGUAUGUAUUAUAUGAAUAAGGAUCGGCUAACUCCGUGCCUGCAGCCGCGGUAAUCUGAGCGGGCUGGCAAGGC
RNAcentral lists this ribosomal RNA (217 nucleotides) under uncultured bacterium. Its description in RNAcentral is "partial 16S ribosomal RNA". It matches the Rfam family "Bacterial small subunit ribosomal RNA", at positions 328 to 539 of the family's 1533-position model. The record is from RNAcentral.